Cotesia glomerata is the source of this 137-nucleotide long non-coding RNA. RefSeq lists it as uncharacterized. The record is from RefSeq and is a predicted model, not a curated record. The transcript is spliced from 2 exons. Lineage: Eukaryota; Metazoa; Arthropoda; Insecta; Hymenoptera; Braconidae.
UAAAGCUUUCCGGAUAAACAAUGAACGAUCUUAAUAAAACCAAGAGUAGCGCUAGUAAUAGUGAAGCUAAUGCGCACAAAAAUUCUCAAACAUCAAGACAAGACAUACCUUUAACAAAACUUCCGGUGGCGAAAAAU